RNAcentral lists this long non-coding RNA (1007 nucleotides) under Sus scrofa (pig). RNAcentral describes it as "lncRNA (ENSSSCG00050040687.1)". Lineage: Eukaryota; Metazoa; Chordata; Mammalia; Artiodactyla; Suidae. The record is from RNAcentral.
CGCAGUGGUUAACGAAUCCAACUAGGAACUAUGAGGUUGCAGGUUCGGUCCCUGCCCUUGCUCAGUGGGUUAACGAUCUGGCAUUGCCGUGAGCUGUGGUGUAGGUUGCAGACGCGGCUCUGAUCCCGCAUUGCUGUGGCUCUGGCGUAGGCCGGCGGCUACAGCUCUGAUUCGACCCCUAGCCUGGGAACCUCCAUAUGCCACGGGAGCGGCCCAAGAAAUAGCAAAAGGACAAAAAAACAAAAACAAAAAAAAACUAUGUCCUGAAAAUUAAAUACCUUUUAGUGUGUUUUGCCUUUGGGAUGCAACACUUCCCUCCAAUUGUUCAAACAAAUUCUUUAAAUGAAUGCAUUGUAAAUGGUACAGGGUUUUUGGUUUUGUUUGAAAAGGAGAAAGAGGGAAAUGUAGACAUUGCUUAUUUCCAAAUACCUUGUAUAGUCUAAGGAAGUGGUGUCAGCAUUCCCUUUGUUCUUAUUUUAGUCAGUUCUACUUAAAAAGAACUCAGAGAUAAGAAAUGAAAAUGGAAAGCACAAAAAGGAAACCAUUGGGGUGGGUUCCCCUUUUGAUUUCAGACUAAUUUCCUGAGAAUGUGAAGCUAAUAGUCACAUGAGAAGGCAAGUGUGAUACUUCAUUUCUAUUUUGUUAACUAAGGUAACCAAAUAACCUUUUUUUUUUUCUAUGAGUAACUACAGCAGUUUAAUGAAAUCAGGGAGAUGUGGCACCUUGGAAGAAAGGAGUUCGGUAUUAAAAUCUCAGGUUUUUUUAUAGAUACGGACCCAAGGAGCAGAAAAAAAGGAGUGAGGUUUAUGUGGAGUGAGGCUGACCUAUCCUACUUGAUCAAAGUUAAGUUUCAUGAGCAAUCCAGGGCUUAUAGAGACAAUUCACAACAAGUAGCUAGACCUCACACAUUUGGAAAGGUAAGUUUUAAUUUUCUUAAAAUUUAUAUAAUUGUAUAAAAUAAGUGUGUUUAUAAUAAAGAAAAUUUUAUUUUAAAGUAUUUUUUGGAG